Molecule: ribosomal RNA, 480 nt
Filed under: uncultured bacterium
Lineage: Bacteria
Description: bacterial SSU rRNA
Rfam family: Bacterial small subunit ribosomal RNA
Source: RNAcentral
AUUGAACGCUGGCGGCAUGCCUAACACAUGCAAGUCGAACGGCAGCAUGGUCUAGCUUGCUAGACUGAUGGCGAGUGGCGAACGGGUGAGUAACGCGUAGGAAUAUACCUUAUAGAGGGGGAUAACCUGGGGAAACUCAGGCUAAUACCGCAUGUUAUCUAAGGAUUAAAGCUGGGGACCUUAGGGCCUGGCGCUAUAAGAAUAGCCUGCGUCCGAUUAGCUAGUUGGUGGGGUAAAGGCCUACCAAGGCGACGAUCGGUAGCUGGUCUGAGAGGAUGAUCAGCCACACUGGGACUGAGACACGGCCCAGACUCCUACGGGAGGCAGCAGUGGGGAAUAUUGGACAAUGGGGGCAACCCUGAUCCAGCAAUGCCGCGUGUGUGAAGAAGGCCUGAGGGUUGUAAAGCACUUUCAGUGGGGAGGAGGGAUACGUUGGUUAAGAGCUGAUGUAUUGGACGUUACCCACAGAAGAAGCACCGG